CCUUAGUAGCCUCGCAAACCCGUAUUUGAGAGCAAAGACUUGAAACUUAGCAAAGAUUUAGCUCUACGGAAAUGGACACGACGAUGUCCAUUUUCUUGUAAACCAACUCUAAGAAAGUGAUGCGACAAUGAAUUUUGAAAGAGAUUGUUUUUAUGCCCA
Long non-coding RNA from Rosa chinensis, 159 nucleotides. RefSeq lists it as uncharacterized. The transcript has 3 exons. The record is from RefSeq and is a predicted model, not a curated record. NCBI's taxonomy places the organism in Eukaryota, Viridiplantae, Streptophyta, Magnoliopsida, Rosales, Rosaceae.